GGAUGUGAGGGCCAUCUGGCUGCGACAUCUGUCACCCCAUUGAUCGCCAGGGUUGAUUCAGCUGAUCUGGCUGGCUAGGCGGGUGUCCCCUUCCUCCCUCACCGCUCCAUGUGCAUCCCUCCCAAAGCUGCGCGCUCGGUGGAAGAGGACGACCAUCCCAGAUAGAAGGAGUGUACCAUUCUUCGGUCAAGGGUAUAUGAUAGCUGCGCCCCCCUGCUAGAAUGAUAAAAAGCUUCCUGAAACCCAUCCACCCCCAGGUUUUGUGGUGGGGCAACCUUCAAGAACUGUGGAAAUAGAGGCAAUAUGUUUUAAGGUUUGAAAAUCGCCAAUGC
This 332-nucleotide small nuclear RNA is filed under the name Pogona vitticeps (central bearded dragon). Its description in RNAcentral is "7SK RNA (ENSPVIG00000014196.1)". It matches the Rfam family "7SK RNA". Rfam says of the family: 7SK was discovered as an abundant small nuclear RNA in the mid-70s but a possible function has only recently been suggested. Two independent studies have found that 7SK RNA binds the CDK9/cyclin T complex (known as elongation factor P-TEFb). P-TEFb activates transcription by phosphorylating the C-terminal domain of RNA polymerase II. Lineage: Eukaryota; Metazoa; Chordata; Lepidosauria; Squamata; Agamidae. The record is from Rfam by way of RNAcentral.